UACAGAGAGUGCAAACGUUGUUCGGAAUCACUGGGCUUAAAGCGCACGUAGGCGGCACUGUAAGUGUCGGGUGAAAUCCCACGGCUCACCCGUGGAACUGCCCGGCAGACUGUGGUGCUCGAGUGUGGUAGGGGAGAGCGGAACUCCUGGUGGAGCGGUGAAAUGCGUAGAUAUCAGGAGGAACACCGGUGGCGAAGGCGGCUCUCUGGUCCACAACUGACGCUGAGGUGCGAAAGCUAGGGGAGCAAACGGG
Molecule: ribosomal RNA, 253 nt
Filed under: uncultured bacterium
Lineage: Bacteria
Description: partial 16S ribosomal RNA
Rfam family: Bacterial small subunit ribosomal RNA
Source: RNAcentral